RNAcentral lists this ribosomal RNA (1053 nucleotides) under Triticum aestivum (bread wheat). Its description in RNAcentral is "partial small subunit ribosomal RNA". Lineage: Eukaryota; Viridiplantae; Streptophyta; Magnoliopsida; Poales; Poaceae. The record is from RNAcentral.
AUGGCGGGGACUGCACGGGGAAGUAGCAGGGCGAGGGCAGGCGCGUACACGUGCGGCGCGGGGCAUGGUCGCCGCUGUGUGCGACAAGAGCGGCAAAGUGGGGCAGAGGCGGCAUGGGCGCAAAGCUGCAUGGGGACGCGAGGCAGCGGUGGACGCAAGCGGGCCGAGCAGGGGAGGCCACACGAGGGGGCGAUUAGCGAAGGCAGGCGGACUCGAGCGAUGUCGCGGUGGCAGGGCAUGGCGAGGUACAUGGGGGAGAAAGGAAAAGGGGUCCUCACCCUCGUUGAAGGCGUACGGGGCGGCGAGGCUCGUUAUGGCUGUCGGGGAUGGGCGCAGGCGGUAGCAAGGCAGCGAUGGUGGGGCAUUCCGAAUCGCGUGCCUCUCAUCCCUUCGCCGGGCGGCUCACUCCAUAUGCGACCGACCUGGGUGAUGACCGAUGCCGGGCUAGAGCAACGGAUCCAUGACGACCGCGCUGGUUCGGGAAGCGCCUCGCCGAGCGAUGGGGCACAGGGUCAGCUCGAUCUGUUUGGUUACACAACACGGCAGGAUGGAUUGUGGCGGCAACACAUGCAUCCGCCCUUUGAAGUACUAUUGCUAAUCCAAAGAUUGAUUGAGAGUUUAAUCAGCCAUUACUACCAGUCAAUGCGCAGACUGCUGGUUAUUGUAGGUCUCCAAUUCUCCCUCCUUCCUGCAUCUCCUCUCCCCCCAAUUCUCCCUUCAUCUUUGAAAUUUGUUUUGUUUACUGAUGCUGUUCUUCGUGCCCAUGAAAAAACUACAGUCUGUGCCAUCUUCAUGGCUGAGAACAUGAAAAACCGAGCACUCGAGCUACCUUUGAAGGAGAAGGCUCCGAGCGCGGUUAAGCCAAAAUGGCAAUAUCCAGGUGCAGGUUGGAUUAAGAUGAAUACAGAUGGAUUCACUGAUUCAGUGAACGGUCGUGGAGGUGCGAGGAUCAUUAUCCGGGAUGAUCAAGGGGCGUUCUUACGAGCGAAGUGUGCUAAGGGUUCGAGCUUCGAUACUCGGGUCGUCAGAUUAACUUGGCGGCCUACCGACUAG